UACGGGGGGAGCAAGCGUUGUUCGGAUUUACUGGGCGUAAAGGGCGCGUAGGCGGUCGUGACAAGUCACUUGUGAAAUCUCCGGGCUUAACUCGGAACGGUCAAGUGAUACUGUCGGACUAGAGUACAGAAGGGGCAACUGGAAUUCUCGGUGUAGCGGUGAAAUGCGUAGAUAUCGAGAGGAACACCUGCGGCGAAGGCGGGUUGCUGGGCUGAUACUGACGCUGAGGAGCGAAAGCCAGGGGAGCAAACGGG
RNAcentral lists this ribosomal RNA (254 nucleotides) under uncultured bacterium. Its description in RNAcentral is "partial 16S ribosomal RNA". It matches the Rfam family "Bacterial small subunit ribosomal RNA", at positions 524 to 776 of the family's 1533-position model. The record is from RNAcentral.